Molecule: transfer RNA, 75 nt
Filed under: Chloroflexota bacterium
Lineage: Bacteria; Bacillati; Chloroflexota
Also listed under: 2 other names
Description: Chloroflexi bacterium (anaerobic digester metagenome) tRNA-Thr
Rfam family: tRNA
About the family: Transfer RNA (tRNA) molecules are approximately 80 nucleotides in length. Their secondary structure includes four short double-helical elements and three loops (D, anti-codon, and T loops). Further hydrogen bonds mediate the characteristic L-shaped molecular structure. tRNAs have two regions of fundamental functional importance: the anti-codon, which is responsible for specific mRNA codon recognition, and the 3' end, to which the tRNAs corresponding amino acid is attached (by aminoacyl-tRNA synthetases). tRNAs cope with the degeneracy of the genetic code in two manners: having more than one tRNA (with a specific anti-codon) for a particular amino acid; and 'wobble' base-pairing, i.e. permitting non-standard base-pairing at the 3rd anti-codon position.
Source: RNAcentral
GCCCUCGUAGCUCAGGGGUAGAGCGCGUUCUUGGUAAGAACGAGGUCAUGGGUUCAAAUCCCAUCGGGGGCUCCA